GACGAACGCUGGCGGCGUGCUUAACACAUGCAAGUCGAACGCUGAAGCUCAGCUUUUGUUGGGUGGAUGAGUGGCGAACGGGUGAGUAACACGUGAGUAACCUGCCUCCUUCUUUGGGAUAACGCCCGGAAACGGGUGCUAAUACUGGAUAUUCACUGGUCUUCGCAUGGGGGUUGGUGGAAAGGGUUUUUCUGGUGGGGGAUGGGCUCGCGGCCUAUCAGCUUGUUGGUGGGGUGAUGGCCUACCAAGGCUUUGACGGGUAGCCGGCCUGAGCGGGUGACCGGUCACAUAGGGACUGAGAUACGGCCCAGACUCCUACGGGAGGCAGCAGUGGGGAAGAUUGCGCAAUGGGCGCAAGCCUGAUGCAGCGACGCCGCGUGAGGGAUGGAGGCCUUCGGGUUGUGAACCUCUUUCGCUCAUGGUCAAGCCGCAACAAUGGUUGUGGUGAGGGUAGUGGGUAAAGAAGCGCCGGCUAACUACGUG
RNAcentral lists this ribosomal RNA (483 nucleotides) under uncultured bacterium. RNAcentral describes it as "partial 16S ribosomal RNA". It matches the Rfam family "Bacterial small subunit ribosomal RNA", at positions 28 to 507 of the family's 1533-position model. The record is from RNAcentral.